This is a long non-coding RNA of Anthonomus grandis grandis, 922 nucleotides long. RefSeq lists it as uncharacterized. The record is from RefSeq and is a predicted model, not a curated record. The transcript has 2 exons. NCBI's taxonomy places the organism in Eukaryota, Metazoa, Arthropoda, Insecta, Coleoptera, Curculionidae.
AAAAUUGAUUUUUAUGAACAAAAAUAAUUUUAAUAUUAAUUAAAAAAUAGGAUCUACCUGUACAGGUAUGUACAGAAAUUUACCAAGUGACUUGCAGUGAUUAUUUAAGUUUGACUUUGAUGUUUCUGUCAGUUAGUCAGUUGGCAUUUUUCGUUUAAAUAUUUGCUUAAAAUGGAAGAAAUUCCACAAAAUAUAAGAGAAAAGGCCAUAAAAGCGACCGAAAAUCUUUUGCCAGUUAAAUCAAGGCAACAGUAUGAUUGGGAGUAUGGCAUAUUUGGUAUUUGGAAAGAUGCCAAUGCAAUUGUUCAAAUAACCGAAACCGUUCUAAUGGCAUAUUUUCAGGAACUGUCGGAAAAAUACAGUCCAAACUCUCUCUGGACCAAUUAUUCUACACUUAGGUCUACGUUAAUGGUCUAUAAAAAUAUAGACAUCUCGCAAUACCAUCGUCUCAUAUCUUUUUUAAAAGUUAAGUCGAAAGGAUAUGUCCCAAAGAAGUCUAAAGUUUUGGAAGGAGAACAAAUAAUAAAAUGUAUUAAGAAGGCUCCUGAUGAUAUCUACUUGGUACACAAAGUCAUAUUGGUAAUGGGUAUUUUUGGAGGUUUAAGACGAGACGAGUUGGUCAAAAUGACCAUUGAUGAUAUUGAAGAUAGAAGAAAGAACGGUCUUGGUUAUAAAGGUACCAGAAACUAAAGCUUCAACUUUUUUUUAGUAAAGUUUUACUAUCAUUGAAGAAGAUUUAGGCGCUUUAAAUUUAAUAAAAAACUUUAUUUCCAAAAUAAAAAUUACAAUUUUGAAAUGUCCCGGAAAAUGUAGCUGAGCCCACUAUAGAAUGGUCGGUCUUUUUUGUGAUGGUAGUGGUCGCAGCACUAACGCUAUUUUGUAUAGUUUGUAAAUUGUCCAUUAAAAUUAUUUUUGUAUAAAA